GAACGUACGCUGGCGGCACGCCUAACACAUGCAAGUCGAACGAAGUAGCAAUACUUAGUGGCAGACGGGUGAGUAACAUGUAGGUAUCUGCCCUUUGGCCUGGAAUAACACGAGGAAACUUGUGCUAAUACCGGAUAAGUCUUUACGGAGAAAGCUUUAUGCACCAUUGGAUGAGCCUGCACUUGAUUAGUUUGUUGGUGGGGUAAUGGCCUACCAAGACUGUGAUCAAUAGCUGAUUUGAGAGGAUGAUCAGCCACAUUGGGACUGAGACACGGCCCAAACUCCUACGGGAGGCAGCAGUGGGGAAUCUUGCACAAUGGAGGAAACUCUGAUGCAGCGAUGCCGCGUGAGUGAAGAAGGCCUUUGGGUUGUAAAGCUCUUUCGUCGGGGAAGAAAAUGACUGUACCCGAAUAAGAAGGUCCGGCUAACUUCGUGCCAGCAGCCGCGGUAAUACGAAGGGACCUAGCGUAGUUCGGAAUUACUGGGCUUAAAGAGUUCGUAGGUGGUUGAAAAAGUUGGUGGUGAAAUCCCAGAGCUUAACUCUGGAACUGCCAUCAAAACUUUUCAGCUAGAGUAUGAUAGAGGAAAGCAGAAUUUCUAGUGUAGAGGUGAAAUUCGUAGAUAUUAGAAAGAAUACCAAUUGCGAAGGCAGCUUUCUGGAUCAUUACUGACACUGAGGAACGAAAGCAUGGGUAGCGAAGAGGAUUAGAUACCCUCGUAGUCCAUGCCGUAAACGAUGUGUGUUAGACGUUGGAAAUUUAUUUUCAGUGUCGCAGCGAAAGCGAUAAACACACCGCCUGGGGAGUACGACCGCAAGGUUAAAACUCAAAUGAAUUGACGGGGACCCGCACAAGUAGUGGAGCAUGUGGUUUAAUUCGAAGAUACGCGCAGAACCUUACCAACACUUGACAUGUUCGUCGCGACCUUAAGAGAUUAAAGUUUUCGGUUCGGCCGGACGAAACACAGGUGCUGCAUGGCUGUCGUCAGCUCGUGUCGUGAGAUGUUGGGUUAAGUCCCGCAACGAGCGCAACCCUCACUUUUAGUUGCCAUCAUUUAGUUGGGCACUCUGAAAGAACUGCCAGUGAUAAGCUGGAGGAAGGUGGGGAUGACGUCAAGUCCUCAUGGCCCUUACGUGUUGGGCUACACACGUGCUACAAUGGUAUCUACAACAGGAAGCAAAACCGCGAGGUUAAGCAAAUCCUUAAAAGAUACCUCAGUUCGGAUUGCACUCUGCAACUCGAGUGCAUGAAGCUGGAAUUACUAGUAAUCGUGGAUCAGCGUGCCACGGUGAAUGCGUUCCCGGGUCUUGUACACACCGCCCGUCACACCAUGGGAGUUGGUUCUACCUUAAGGCAAGGUUUCAAACCCUCGACCACGGUAUAGUCAGCGACUGGGGU
RNAcentral lists this ribosomal RNA (1397 nucleotides) under uncultured bacterium. RNAcentral's name for it is "bacterial SSU rRNA". It matches the Rfam family "Bacterial small subunit ribosomal RNA". The record is from RNAcentral.